Molecule: transfer RNA, 71 nt
Filed under: Planctomycetales bacterium 10988
Lineage: Bacteria; Pseudomonadati; Planctomycetota; Planctomycetia; Planctomycetales
Rfam family: tRNA
About the family: Transfer RNA (tRNA) molecules are approximately 80 nucleotides in length. Their secondary structure includes four short double-helical elements and three loops (D, anti-codon, and T loops).
Source: Rfam by way of RNAcentral
ACCCCGAUAGUGUAACGGUAGCACAAAACCCUUUGAAGGUUUCAGUCCUGGUUCGAAUCCAGGUCGGGGUG